GGUGAGUAACGCGUGAGUAACCUGCCCUGGAGUGGGGGACAACAGUUGGAAACGACUGUUAAUACCGCAUAAGCCCACGAUCCGGCAUCGGAUUGAGGGAAAAGGAUUUAUUCGCUUCAGGAUGGACUCGCGUCCAAUUAGCUAGUUGGUGAGUUAACGGCCCACCAAGGCGACGAUUGGUAGCCGGACUGAGAGGUUGAACGGCCACAUUGGGACUGAGACACGGCCCAGACUCCUACGGGAGGCAGCAGUGGGGGAUAUUGCACAAUGGGGGAAACCCUGAUGCAGCGACGCCGCGUGGAGGAAGAAGGUUUUCGGAUUGUAAACUCCUGUCGUUAGGGACGAUAAUGACGGUACCUAACAAGAAAGCACCGGCUAACUACGUGCCAGCAGCCGCGGUAAAACGUAGGGUGCAAGCGUUGUCCGGAAUUACUGGGUGUAAAGGGAGCGCAGGCGGACCGGCAAGUUGGAAGUGAAAACUAUGGGCUCAACCCAUAAAUUGCUUUCAAAACUGCUGGCCUUGAGUAGUGCAGAGGUAGGUGGAAUUCCCGGUGUAGCGGUGGAAUGCGUAGAUAUCGGGAGGAACACCAGUGGCGAAGGCGACCUACUGGGCACCAACUGACGCUGAGGCUCGAAAGCAUGGGUAGCAAACAGGAUUAGAUACCCUGGUAGUCCAUGCCGUAAACGAUGAUUACUAGGUGUUGGAGGAUUGACCCCUUCAGUGCCGCAGUUAACACAAUAAGUAAUCCACCUGGGGA
This 758-nucleotide ribosomal RNA is filed under the name uncultured bacterium. RNAcentral's name for it is "bacterial SSU rRNA". It matches the Rfam family "Bacterial small subunit ribosomal RNA", at positions 105 to 879 of the family's 1533-position model. The record is from RNAcentral.